This is a long non-coding RNA of Gouania willdenowi (blunt-snouted clingfish), 1376 nucleotides long. The record is from Ensembl. NCBI's taxonomy places the organism in Eukaryota, Metazoa, Chordata, Actinopteri, Blenniiformes, Gobiesocidae.
AAUACAGAGAGUACAGGUGAAAUCUGGAUUAAACCUUGGGCAGAAAAAUUAGCUGCAAAAAAAUAUACAUUAACAAAUGAAGAUAGGAAAAUCCGCCAUCUACUCCCAGACUUUUUGCACACAAUUAAAAAGCAUCACAAACACCAGGGUGAAUGGAAUUGGCAAGACUUCAUACAGUCACCGUUCCCCUAUCAAAUGACUUUCCUCUAUACCACCGAGAGAUCAUUAUUCCUCACGGCACCCAUAAAUGAUUGGAACGGCGAAAAGGAUAAUGAGACAAUAUUUAAGAAAUGGUUGCCACUAACUCCUGAUGCUCAAUGGCAUCAGCUUCGCUGGUCUCACGAAGAUGAAUCAUGGAAUCUGACGAUUACAGAGGCGGCAGGUGCGAGAAUAAUUGGAAAGAAACCAGUAAUAAAGAAUGGUGAGACUUAUGUAGAAAAUAUAUGGAAUACAGCUGAAGUUGAAUGGCAACCUUGUAGGAUGAGAGGAGGCGAAUGGGAGUGUCUUAAAGAUAAAACUCUAAUACAGGAACUAAAGAAAACUGUAAAUUCCACAUAUGCCUUUGCAUCACACGAUAUGCUGACCGAGAACAGAAGAGGGAUGUGUGUGAUUCCCGGAAAGCAUGUGAGGGUACCUCACUGGCCAUCCCAUGUGGCGUCUGUCGGAUGGUUACAGGGAAUAGACAUAGGAGGAUUGAUGUAUGAUAGAUUGAGGUUUGUUAGAAAUGUGCUUUGUGAUGGAAACAAAUUAAAAAAUAGGGAGAAAACUGUUCCAAUUUUUCAGGAAUGGAAAAAUGAUAAUACAAAAAUGAAACUAAAAGAAGAUAGCCCAUGGUAUAUCCCAACUGAUACUGUGAGGAAUUGUGCAGUGACAGAAAUCGAUAACUCAAGAAUUGUACUGGAGGCCUCGGAUGAUGUUUUUAACUGUGAAGCAAUAGGGAAGCAUAGUUAUAGAGAAAAGAGUAUGGAAAAAAGGGGGACAGGCCUGCCAGCUUGGAGGAUGUUUGGGGCUAUGAUGAUCGGGGUCGCCGUACAGGGAGUAAAAAAGGGAGUGGUUGAAACUGCUCAAAAUGUUUGGUGGUGGACCAAAGAAAUAAUGUGGUACCUUAAAUGGAUAAUGCUAGCUAUUGGGGGUAUAAUAUUUUUGGCAGUAGUAGGAAAAAUAUUAGCAAUUUUAAAUUGCUGCAGAAAAAUGUGCAACUGGGCAUUUAGUAGAGCAGAUAGAAGACACGAAACAUUAGUGACUCAGUCUGCCAGGAAGUUGGACAAAGAAAUACAAAAGAAGAAGAAAAGGCAUCGUUUUAGGAAGAAAGGAGAGGCCCUUUAACCAGGGGCCUCCUGCUCAGCAAAGGCGUAAAAAACAUCAUAAGAUUGGGC